UAGGAAAAGGCAGAGUGCAUUGUGUGACC
Molecule: non-coding RNA, 29 nt
Filed under: Homo sapiens (human)
Lineage: Eukaryota; Metazoa; Chordata; Mammalia; Primates; Hominidae
Source: RNAcentral